This 520-nucleotide ribosomal RNA is filed under the name uncultured Glomus. RNAcentral describes it as "SSU rRNA". It matches the Rfam family "Eukaryotic small subunit ribosomal RNA", at positions 569 to 1092 of the family's 1831-position model. The record is from RNAcentral. Lineage: Eukaryota; Fungi; Glomeromycota; Glomeromycetes; Glomerales; Glomeraceae.
AGCAGCCGCGGUAAUUCCAGCUCCAAUAGCGUAUAUUAAAGUUGUUGCAGUUAAAAAGCUCGUAGUUGAAUUUCGGGGUUAGUAGGUUGGUCAUGCCUCUGGUAUGUACUGGUCUCACUGAUUCCUCCUUCCUGAUGAACCGUAAUGCCAUUAAUUUGGUGUUGCGGGGAAUUUGGACUGUUACUUUGAAAAAUUAGAGUGUUUAAAGCAAGCUAACGCUUGAAUACAUUAGCAUGGAAUAAUGAAAUAGGACGUUCGAUCCUAUUUUGUUGGUUUCUAGGAUUGACGUAAUGAUUAAUAGGGAUAGUUGGGGGCAUUAGUAUUCAAUUGUCAGAGGUGAAAUUCUUGGAUUUAUUGAAGACUAACUACUGCGAAAGCAUUUGCCAAGGAUGUUUUCAUUAAUCAAGAACGAAAGUUAGGGGAUCGAAGACGAUCAGAUACCGUCGUAGUCUUAACCAUAAACUAUGCCGACUAGGGAUCGGAUGAUGUUAAUUUUUAAUGACUCAUUCGGCGCCUUACG